This 104-nucleotide non-coding RNA is filed under the name uncultured Eubacterium sp. Its description in RNAcentral is "THF riboswitch". It matches the Rfam family "THF (Tetrahydrofolate) riboswitch aptamer". Rfam says of the family: THF riboswitch presents a pseudoknot that joins P1-P2 and the loop of P3 and two THF binding. Lineage: Bacteria; Bacillati; Bacillota; Clostridia; Eubacteriales; Eubacteriaceae. The record is from RNAcentral.
GCAGAGUAGGUCUUGAUGCGUGAAGUGCCGGCCGUACAGGGAGUUGACGGACGGACGAAAAGUAUGUGCAGCAUACUUGCGGUAUCAGGGCCGCAUCCCGCUGC